This is a long non-coding RNA of Vespa crabro (European hornet), 8997 nucleotides long. RefSeq lists it as uncharacterized. The record is from RefSeq and is a predicted model, not a curated record. The transcript has 3 exons. Lineage: Eukaryota; Metazoa; Arthropoda; Insecta; Hymenoptera; Vespidae.
UUAUUGCUCAUUUUUAAUUUGAUUUUGAUCUUUGACCAAUUCGCUGUUCCUUAAUAUUUCAUGACGAGAUAUUACUUAUUAAUCCUUAAACGAGUACAUAUACUUUAACAUUUAAUUAAUUUUAUUAUGUUAAAGCAUGGUAUAUCAAUCUCAUUACAAACAUACAAUUAAAUUAAAUUAAAUUAAAUUGAAUUGAAUUGAAUAGAUAACGACUUGUAAAAAUUUCAAUGUGUUGUUAGGUUACUUUUAGAUCUUUUAUUACAUAUAUUUUGUUCGACUCGAGUUUGUUUAUUAAAAGAAAAGAUUGAUUUUUAAAAAUAUUCCCGGUAAAUGGAAGAUCUCUAAUUCUGUCUCAUAUAAAUUUUAUUCGAUUCUUUUAAAAUUUCAUUCUUGUAGAGGUUUCUUGCGUCAUCGGAGGUAUGCAAAGGUCAAUAACCUUAUCCCGUUCGAUGGGCUUGCAUCAUUUUGAAUUCUUUGUGCUCUGAGCCAUGAUAUUAGUCUUUCUAACUGAAAGAAUGAUCUUCAUUCGUUACAAUUACAAAAAUAUUAUAAUUCGUAAAUGAACGGGACACGAGUUUGAAGUUCGUUCUUUUUUUUUUUUUUUUUUUUUUCUUUUUUUUUUUUUUUUUUUUGAAAUUUCAACUUUUUUCUAUUUUCUUAUCAUCUUUUGUGAAAUAGCUUUGGAAUGUAUUAUGUGUCAUGCUUGAUACUGACGCAACGAUUUCCAGGUAAGUGUAUAUCUUUUCUUUCAACAGUAGCACGAUCAUAUGCAUGCAUGCAAAUAAACAUUCAAUCUUGGCUUUUAUUUACGAAGGAACAGCGAAAAUUGAUCAAUAUUACUUUUUCUUUUUAUUAUUCUUCUUCUUUUGUCUGUUUUUACCAUCUUCCUCUUCCCUAUCUUACUCUUUCCUCAAGUGUAAUUUUCUCAUUUCUUUCUAUCCGGAUGACACUUGGCUCGUCCGAAAUGAUCUUCUUUCUUUUACGAGUCAAAUACCAUCCUGCAAAUUGGACGACUCUAGAUUGGAAAAUAUAUUCUUUAUCUCUUUUUUUUCUUUUUUUUUUCUUUUUUUUUUAUUCUUCUGAACUAUACGAGAGAAUGUAUGGUCGUGUAUACUUACGGUAGAUAAGCUUCUAUAUAUUGAUAUCGUAAGUCUUAUAUCAAAUCUCUAAUACAUUGUGUGACGAAUCGUAACCGAUCGUGAGUGCAACUUCGAAUAAAUGAAUGAAUGAAUAAACGAACGAACGAACGAACGAACGAAAAAGCGUAUUUCAAUCGUGUUUCUUGUAUUUCCUAUAUAUUUAUUUAUUUCUUAGAUUUAUAAGUGAACUUGAAAAUUGAACGUUCGAUCAUUUUAUUUAUAAUUUGUUUUUUUUUUUUUUUUGUUAAUACGAUAAAAAGAAGAAAUAUAAAGAACUUAAAUCAAGACUUUUCACACGAGUUAGUCGUUUGCUUCGAUAAAACGUAUUAUUACAUAGUAGCAAUGGGUGGAACAGAGAACGUAAUAACUUUCACUAUCGGAAAACAAAUAAAACGAAGUCCCUCUCAGGGCACUCUUCCCCUGGCCUGUUUAAUCUCCGCAAUAGUUCCGGAAUGUUACCCACCCUUUGCCAAUGGUCUUCGUACUGCUAUCACCACCACCACUACCAUCAACUCUACUAUCACUACCAGAAAUAGCAAGCUCUCUCUCUCUCUCUCUCUCUCUCUCUCUCUCUCUCUCUCUCUCUCUUCCCUCCCCCUAUCUCUUUCUCUCUCUCUCGAUCCUCUGAACAUUUGGAGCAUUACACGCGCCGGCGAAGUAGAGGACGUAGAACCUGGUGGCCCACAUAAAACCGCCCCUUUCUGGCUACCCUAGUCACAUUCACCUCCUUGGAUUCUCUUCUCUUUUCUCUUCUCCCUCUUUCGUGAUGCUUGUUACGCGCGCGCGUAUAAGAUUCAAGGUUCACUUUACAUUCUCUCUUUCUCUCUCUCUCUCUCUCUUCCUCUCUCUCCCUCUCUCUCUCUCUCUCUCUCUCUCUCCCUUUCUCUAUCUUUUUCUCUCUUUUCUUCCCUCAUCCUCACUCUUUUUCAAAUGCUUCGUCUCAUCCUCCAUUUCUUUCUCAUCCCUUGGUCGAGUAGAAGGUUUUACUCCUUACGAUCUUACGUAAGAUCGAAGCUAUCCUCAUAGCCAUUGGAAUUCAGCUGACGUCGCGAGAACUGUCAGAUCCAAACUCUUUUUUCUUUUUCUCCCUUUGCUUCUUUUGUUUUCAUCUUCCGAUUUUAUGUGCCUAUAAAUUUGACGAUGGACUCUGUAACUUUAAGUAUUCUUCUUAUUAUCACUUUUAUUUAAUAAUAAAAUUAUUGACGUAAUUAAUCUGAAUUUAUAUGAGAUCUUUAAUAUAUAUCUUUCAAAUUUGUUACAUAGAUAUACAUAAAGAUACUAUAUGUCUGUUGAUUAACUUUGUGCAUCAAUAUCUAUCUGUGUUUUAGUCUAAUCGGUUAAUAUAUAUAAUCUUCUAUAAUUUUCCAAACAAAAGAUCGCGUUCGAGAAAAGUUUAAGUUCAUUGAAAAGAAUCUUUUUUACGAUCACGUAACUGUCGCUAUAUUUACGAGACAUAGAUUAACAUUUUCAAAAAACGUCUUUCGAAAGCUGAGAAUGAGAGGUGGAUUUUAAAGAGCUCGUGGUGGUGGUAUUUUCUCCCUCUCUCUCUCUCUCUCUCUCUCUCUCUCUCUCUCUCUCUCUCUCUCUCUCUCUCUCUUUCUUUCUCCUUUUUGCACUCUAAGGAGGAGGACGCGCUUGCGUAGGAAGCUCUUCUCGUCCUGUCAACCGGAAGGCGGCUUUCCUCCUCUUCGUCGAUAUUUUCUACGCCAGUCGAGGAAACGUGCGACCUCGAACGAAAGUGAGAGCUACCAUCUCUAUCGUGGGUGAAAGUCACGGCUUUAGCUACAUAAAUUUUUUCUCCACUCGUCGUGCAUUGAUAUUAUUUUCUUCUUUUUUUCUCUUUUUUUUUUUUGUUCCAAUUUUGUUGUUGUUGCUUUUCUUUUAAAUAGAUAUCUUGUUGCAUUGAAAGAAAAAAGAAAAGGAAAGGAAGAAAAUUCUUCUCGAUGGACGUGUUCGAAUAAAAGAAAUAAAAUUCUAAUUGAGUGAUAUAUAUUUAACUUGUGUGACGUAUAGUAUAUCUCAUUCACUGAUAAGAGAGAGAGCCGGUGAUCGUCUUCCUUGAAAUCGUAGAAAUCGAGUUCAUUUAUAGUGCCAAGCCGAUCAUCAGCUACAUGCGAAUGAAUUUCUUUGGAACGCAGAGAUACACGUACCUAGGUAUGGAUAUAUACAUGGUGACGACGAAAUACGAUACUCGAAUAUCUCUCUCUCUCUCUCUCUCUCUCUCUCUCUUUUUGCCCUCUUUCUUUCUUUAACAGAGUUACUUCCGUUCUCUCAUAGUCAGAUUUUAUAGCAACUAUAUCUUGACAGUAUGGCUCGGCUGCCUUCGUUGAAUAGUACGCGUAAAUCUGCAACGAGCGUAACUUCCUGUCAGAAAGAGAAAAAAAAAUGCGGAGGGAGAGAUCAUCUCUUAGUCACUCUCUCUUUCUCUCUCUCUCUCUCUCUCUCUUUUUCGCUUUCUAUCUCUUUCCUUCUCUUUCUCUGCGAAUAUAUCGCAUUGAGCGAAACCGAUAAAUGUGGGCGUGGGUCGCUGGAACGAGACAAGAAUUUGGCGGAAGUCGUGGCAAGUUGAACGACGUCGUUGAGGUACAAAGAAAGAAAAUUAAAGAAAUAAAAAAUAAAGAGAUAGAGAGAGAGAGAGAGAGAGAGAGAGAGAGAGAGAGAGAGAGAGAUGACUUCCUUUCUUUGGAUGUUUUCUUUGGUCGAAAAAUUCUUCUCUAAAGUACGUAGGUUUCACGUAACGACUAUACUUCUAGAUCUUAAAAUUUUAUAUUGAGAGAUCUUAGUACUUAUUGUAGCUAAAUUUGGAUUAUGCAUCACAUUUUCUUCGUGAGAAUCUAACAAAAUUUGUGUUGGUUAACGUAAGCAAAGACGACGACUACGACGACUACGAUUAUAUGCAGUCGUGUCUCUCUCAAAAUAAACAACGGCCUUUAAUAUCGGCCGGUGCACGUUAUAUCGUUGUUUGUAGUUUUGAUCACGACCAGAUUACCAACAUUGCAACCAUGAGUUGAUGUUUUUUAUUUUUUUUUCAAUAAUUUUUGCAUCGCAUUUAACAUUAGUCGAUCAUUUUAAUGACUAAACAUUAUCUAUUAACAUUCAUUAUUUAUUUAUUUUUUAUUCUUUCUUAUUUGGAUGAAAACAAAAAAAAGAAGUUAUUUUGCCCGAAACGAAGAUAUUCAAUUUGGAGUGAUAUCGGCGCGCUUUAUUUCAAACUCUCAGCGUGUAUAGUCGAACGCGGUCGAACUGUACCGAAUCCUGACGAAUCGAAACAUAGCUAUCUUUGCGCGAAAGCGAGAGUUGUGGAUGAGCGACCUUGAGAUCUUAACCAGAUUCGUUGCAUAAGGAUCCCUCGCAUAAACGUGUAGGAUAUCAUCAAAGAUAAAGACAGAAAAAGAGUUAAAGGAAGAUGAGGCGUAUAGGAAUUGAACGGUAUAAUAUCCGAUUCGAGUAUAUCUCUUUUAAUUAACAUAAAUUUUCGUUGAUCGAUCAUUUUUACAUUGUAAUUACAUUUCCUGCUAUUAUUUAUGGUUUAUUUAUUCAUUUUUUUUGUUGCUAUUAUCGAUACAACGAUAAUUUGUGAAUCUUUUUUUUUUAUUUUUUAUUUCUUUUUAUAAUAAGAUCCUUAACGAAAUUUGUAAAUUAAUAAUUUUUUAAUGUUCCGUUUUAUUGUUCGUUUCGUUUUAAGAUUCGCGUCAGGAAGAGUUCGGCGCCGUUUGCGUGCACGUUCUUAGAAUAGUUUCGUCGAUGUUUAUCGUUCAUGAGACUGUCAGUCGAAUUCAGUGCAUUCCACGAUGCUUGUGUAUGUCGGUCAAUGACGAUCGCUGGCCGACGUUAAGAGAAAGGCACGUGUUAGCUAUUCGGCAGCUGUUAAAAAACCUUUCGAAUGUCAAUUUUAGUUUGGCAAUAUAAAGUUCACUUCAUUUUUUCCACUUGAAUUCUCCUUCAAUUUCUAACGUGUCUCGUUUCGAGUGAGUCGAAGAUUAAAAAAAAAAGAAAAAAAAGGAAAAAGAAAAUGAAAAACGAAAGAAAAAGGAAAUAAUACAGAUAAGAAAGAACCCAUCGAAUAUUCUAGACUUCAAAGUUAUUUUCUUUCUCUUUCCUCUCUUUUUCCUAUCAUAUUUUUUUUUUCUUUUUCUUUUUUCGACUAGAAAACUUUGACCCGAAACUGUCAUCUCGAACUUCUCAUCUUGAAAUCAGUUCACCUGUCGGAUCUUGGCAUGUCAUGGAUAAGAAAAUUUUUUUCUAAAUAUACUGAUUGAUAUACAGAUUUUUUUUUUUAUCAUUUCCUGUCUUUUUCAAACUAUUCGUCUAAUCUUUCCGCUAGGAGUUAUAGAUAUCGAGUUUAACGAUAGGAGUUAUAGAUAUCGAGUUUACCGAUGGAGUUUAUAGCUGUAAACCGCCAAGGUUGAUCAGUCAAUAAUCAGUCCUAGCUUAGAAAAACUAGAAGAAAAGAAAAAAAGAAUUAAUUUUCAUUAAUCAUUUUUUAAUUCAUACAGCUCGCAAUAAAUAUAGAUCGUUUCGACUAUUAAAUUCUAUUCUAUUCGAGGAUCUCACACGACUUCCUUUGCGACUUGUUCACUUUAUUUUUAUCAUGAAGAUGAGUUCCGUAUCGCUAAUUGAUCGUAAUUCAAAUGCUCGCGACCUACAUGUACAUUACAUUCACUUAUAAUAGUAUGUUUGUGUACGGAAUCUUCCAUUUCGCUCGAUUGAAUAAGCUGAAAACUUUAAAAAGUUAACUAAACUAUUUUUUUUUAAUGAAUAUACGAACAUCUAACAAGAACAUUAGACAACGUCGUCUAUUAGAACAUAUCUAAAGAUCGAUUUUAUUUCUUUUUUUUAUUAAUGAUAGAUUGAAGAUGUAUUUAAAUCAAUGAAAAUGAGGUAUUUUAUAUAUUGUACACAAUCGUCGGAAGAAAUUCUACAGAACAUCUUAAUUUUCAUGAACGAAUUGUAACUUCAUCAAUCUUUAUCAAAGAAAAUAAAAACGAUUACAGAGCAUUCUUUAAUCAAUGCAAUAAGGAUAAUGAAUGAUAAAUAAAAUCAAACAUUUGUUUCAGUAAAUUAAAAGUCGACUCUUUUUUCGAAUCAUUGUUGAUUUUGAUAUUUGUACGUCAGCUUAAAUAUUCUCUAUUUAAUGAGAUCUCAUAUAACCGAUAGUUCAUUUAAUCGUUUCUUCUUCUUUUUUUUUUCUCUUAUAUCAUUAAUUCUCCAUUCUUCCUCAAUGAUUCAUGAGUAUAAUCGAUUUCAACUGACGGCGCUCGUAAAAAUAAAAAGAACGUUAGCUUUUAGAUUGUCACGAAAGAUCAUUAACACAUUGACUGAACGAGUUAAUUUAACAUAAAUCUUUAUAUUUGAAUGAAAUCAUAAGUGAGAUUAGACGAAAUUUGAGAACAUUUUUUAUAAUUGAAGUUAUUAGAACGAAGAGUGUAGGUCAUCAACGACAUCAGUCGAGCAUUUAGAACACUUUGACACAAUCUAUUGCUCUGAUUUUAUUUGUUACAAUAAAAGAGAGAGAGAGAGAGAGAGAGAGAGAGAGAGAGAGAGAGAGAGAGAGAGAGAGAGAGAGAAAGGGAAAAAAAGAUCGAUUGCCAAGUACGUACAUACGUAGAAGUCGAUCGUGAUCAUUUCACGCCCUUGUUUCUUUAUCGAGUAUCAUCGUACUCCGUGUGAUCUCAACGUGAUAUGAUCGUGACCAUCGAAUAUUGAAAUAAAAUAUCUUCCUCUGAUAGAGAUUUUUUUUUCGAUUUUUUGCCGAUCCGAUGUUCUCUCUCUCUCUCUCUCUCUCUCUCUCUCUCGUGUAUAUUUUUAAGUUUGCGACUUUGCAAUUGUAAUGAUUUAACAUAAAGUUUUUUUUCGAUUUGCUGAUGUUACGUUCAAGAUGGAGAAAGAGUAGAAUGCUAUUGAGAAAUAUGUCGUCAGGUGAAACAAACAAAUAGGACUUCUUUUUAGAAUCGAUGAGAGAAACAGAGAGACAGAAACAUUUUUAAAAUUUACGAUCCCUAUGGAAUCAUCAUGAGAGGAGAGGGCAAAAAAGAGGACGUCAAACCAAAAACACAAAGAUAACGCCACGAGAAGUUACGGAAAACGUAUGCGGAGAGUGAGACAGGAUAUAUUUUUGUAUCAGCUCCUAGCUAGACGGGGGAAGUGUUCAUAGUGCCUUCUUCCUAUAUUUUGCUCUCUUUCCAUUUGUAGAGGGCGACGCCCCUUCUCCCAUUCUAUCACAUCGAUUCAUUUUCGUCGUUUUUCCUUAGAUCGUUGCGCGUGUGCUUUGAAAGCACCGGUGACGUCAUCGGCCCGCUACAUAUGAAUCUCGUUUGAUACAUACGCCUGUAUCUUUCCGGGAUAAAGAAUUUAUAAACAUUUUAAUAUGUCUCGUCAUUUGAUUUUUGAUAGUUAAUUUAUUUUGUCGGAUAGAUGAAUUAACAUAUAGAAAUAUUUAUAAAAUUUUUAAGAUCUUGUAAAUUGAUUGCUCGAUUCUUCGCUUAUGAAUAAUUUAUAUAAAUUCAUAUAAAAAGUGGACGAUGAAGUAUCAAAAGUACAAAACUUUCCUCGCAGCUACGAACAAAUUUUUUCUUUUUUUGCACGAAAUUUUAAUUAACAAAUUCUUCACAAAAUUUUUAUCAGUGCAAAGUAAUAAUUUCGAUCGUUGUUGUAAAAAAAAAAAGAAAAACAAAAAAAGAAACAAAAAAAAAUUGAUGUCCUCGUGAUCAAAAAUACGCGCCUGUCGUUAACGUAGAAAGAAUGACUGCUGCAACGGCGGAUACAGCCAACUCCAUCGACGAUGUUCGUACUUACUUAUAUCGUAAGAUAGAAACGGAACGAGAAUGAGAGCGAGAGAGAAAGAAAGAUUGAAGGGGAGUGAGAGAAAGAGAGAGAGAGAGAGAGAGAGAGAGAGAGAGAGAGAAACACGCAUAGAAGCGCGUGCCGCCACGUAGUGGAGUGGAAGUGGAUUUUAUUCGGUGGAAGUGGUAGUGGCGCGAUGCGUGCGUCUCUCGCGGAGGCAAGUGCCCAGUGCCACUGCCAGAGACGCGCGGUUUCGAACGUAUUAACUUUUACUCUCGUAGAAGAAGAAAAACGGGAUAGAGAUAAUAAACAAGAGUAACAAAAAAAAGAAAAGAGAGAGAAAAAAAUCAAGAUAUACCAUUCUUGUCUCUCAACGACAACAAUAAUUUUCACAAAUAAGAAAGGUCUCUUUUUUUUUUAUUUCGUUUAUAAAUUAAGUGCCAAUUCAUCUACGAUGAAUUAAUAAAUCGCAAUAAUGUGUUCAUUCCUCGCGAUGCCAUUCGCUUUUGGCAUUAAUAGAUGUUCUUGGAUGGAUUGGUUGUAAAAACAAUUGAAAACUAUAUUAAAUUUCGAUGAAGAAAUUUCGCGCGUGUUACACCGAGAAAAUUUCGUUUCGUCUAAUCUCGCUAAAACGACGACGAAAUCUCUAUUCGUCGUACGUUGGAUGAGAGGAGGAAGGCAAAAGGAGGAAGAAAAGACGGUGGUGGUGGUGGUGGUGGUGGUAGAUGAGGAGAAGAAGGUGGAGAAGUUGGAAGAGGAGCAAGUGGUGGAUAAGAAAGGUGGAGGUGGACAGGGUGGUGAAGAAAAACGAGGGACGGAUUUUAUAUCUACGAGAAGUGUUCCUUCUUGUCGUGAUUACGUAACGGACGUUAGUGCUAAAUCGAAAGACAAGCGAGGAACGAUGAACUCCUCUUCGGAGGGGAGGCAAACUUUUGCGCGAGAUGUGUGCGAACGUAUAACUCUCUGCUCCUCGUGAUCUCGAGACGACGGAUCAGAUCAAAACCUCUAGGGGCCAUAGUACAUACAUAUACAAGCAAUAAAGGAAAAGACAGAGAUUAAUAAAAUUGAUUAGUAC